CCUGACUGCUAUCGGAUUGAUACUAAGCCAUGUGAGUCUUUGCAGCAAUGCAAGGCAGACGGCUCAGUAACACGUAGUCAAUCUACCCUAUGGACGAGGAUAAUCUCGGGAAACUGAGGAUAAUACUCGAUAGAUCAUUAUGCCUGGAACGGUUAAUGGUUGAAAUGAAUUUCGCCAUAGGAUGGGACUGCGGCCUAUCAGCUUGUUGGUGAGGUAAUGGCCCACCAAGGCUAUUACAGGUACGGGCUCUGAGAGGAGAAGCCCGGAGAUGGGUACUGAGACACGGACCCAGGCCCUAUGGGGCGCAGCAGGCGAGAAAACUUUGCAAUGUGCGCAAGCACGACAAGGUUAAUCCGAGUGUUUCCUGCUAAAGGAAUCUUUUGCUAGUCCUAAAAGCACUAGCGAAUAAGGGGUGGGCAAGUUCUGGUGUCAGCCGCCGCGGUAAAACCAGCACCUCAAGUGGUCAGGAGGAUUAUUGGGCCUAAAGCAUCCGUAGCCUGCUUUGUAAGUUUCCGGUUAAAUCCAUUAGCUUAACUGAUGGGCCGCCGGAAAAACUGCAAAGCUAGGGAGUGGGAGAGGUAGACGGUACUCAGUAGGAAGGGGUAAAAUCCUUUGAUCUAUUGAUGACCACCAGUGGCGAAGGCGGUCUACCAGAACACGUUCGACGGUGAGGGAUGAAAGCUGGGGGAGCAAACCGGAUUAGAUACCCGGGUAGUCCCAGCUGUAAACGAUGCAGACUCGGUGAUGCCCUGGCUUGUGGCCAGUGCAGUGCCGCAGGGAAGCCGUUAAGUUUGCCGCCUGGGAAGUACGUACGCAAGUAUGAAACUUAAAGGAAUUGGCGGGGGAGCACCACAAGGGGUGAAGCCUGCGGUUC
RNAcentral lists this ribosomal RNA (874 nucleotides) under uncultured Candidatus Nitrosopumilus sp. Its description in RNAcentral is "bacterial SSU rRNA". It matches the Rfam family "Archaeal small subunit ribosomal RNA", at positions 21 to 903 of the family's 1478-position model. Lineage: Archaea; Thermoproteati; Nitrososphaerota; Nitrososphaeria; Nitrosopumilales; Nitrosopumilaceae. The record is from RNAcentral.